AGCCGGCCAAGCCAGGGGCUUCGUGCCUCCGAUGCCCUGCCAACCCACCACCCCGGAGCGAGACGCGCGCAGCUCCCCCGUGCCCGGCGACCUUCCCCCGCCAGCGCCGCCCUCCCCCGAUCCACUUUCUUUCCCCGCCGGCGCUGUCCUCCCCCAAUCCACCUUCUUCCCUCGCCGGUGUCGUCCUCCCCGAUCCAUCUUGUUCCCCUUCCCCGGGAAUCACUGAACUUCCCUUUCGCCUCGAUCUGCAGCGACGCGGACGACUGGCAGUAGGGCGCGCCGCCCUUCCCCUCCCCUCGAAUUUUUGGGGCACCGAUAACCCAGCGAGAUAUAUGGCGGUCGGGCUUGGGGUGGAGGCCACCGCCGAUCCCCUGCUCGAUCUCUUUCCACCAAUAUCCGGCGACCUCCCCCUCGAUCUGGUCUCCCGUCCACAACUCCUUUGUUGUCCACCUCGACUGAGCCGCCGUCGACGUCGUCUAAUUGGUCCUAGUGGACGCCGGCCACCACGGCAUCGGGACGGAACCCCCUCCUCUUCACACUUCUCCAUGGACGUCUGCGCAAUCACCAUCUCCAACACGCCGUUUUAGCAGAAGGAGCCCAGGGAGCGCCUCUCUCUCACCACUGUGGCAUUUCCGACACCGGGGCUUGCGUUUGGCUGGCACCGACAUGAGGUUCACUAGCUCCUGCUUGCAGCUCGCCAUGGUAGAUGGGUUGAUGCCCCCACCCCUCGCCGGAUCUGGCGGCUACCGCAAUGCGCCCCUUCUCCAGCCCAGCCUCGGAAUAUCACCACCACUUGCCGAGACGGCUAUGCAGUUCGGCGAGGUCUGUCGUGCGGUUCGGCGAGUCAUGUCGUGCAGUGCGGCGUGGGCUGCAGCUCCCGUGUGCGGUUCAGUGUGCCGCACGGGUGGGAGGAGGGAGUGUACUCCACGCGCGUCCUGCCCUCUGUUCCACCUCCCCUCCUCUGCGAUGGAGCAGCAUGGUCGUGCACGACGCAGUGCAGUUCAGUGCAAAACAAGUGUCUACAUCAAGUUGGAGAUGAGGUUCCGUGUGAAUUGUUGUGAAGAUAACUCACUUCGUCCCCAUCAUUGGUGAAACCAUGCACUCCCCCAUUUCCUCCCCGGGAUGAGCAGCGCAAGGGAAUCGCUGGAGCAGUCCACACAGCAGCCGCGUGCGACCAUCAUUGCAUGGCCAUGCAGUGGACUUCUGUAAUUUGAGGCAAGCAUAGUAGGGAUUAGUCACUAACACCGACUCCACCGCUGGCAAUUUUUGCAGUGCAUGUUUUUGUUUUUUCAGUUCGUUGCAUGAGAAAAUGAAGUAUGUUUAGUUUAUAUAUUGAGGGACAUUUGUGCUGACUGCAAAUGUAGUACACUUUGGCAAGACAGCUGCAGUCUGCAGAGCAGGGCCUCCACCCCGAGACGCCCGUGCAAAAUCCGUGAUAAAACAUGGUAUUUCUGACUAUGUUCGCGCGGUGCUGAGCAUGUGUGCAUGCAAUUUAGUUGUUUCGAUUUUUUUUUUGUUUUGUGACGGGAAAAUUGCCUGAAGUUGUAUUUUUUGGAUAAUUGUUUUUAAAGUGCACUUAGUUUUUAUA
Molecule: non-coding RNA, 1588 nt
Organism: Triticum urartu
Lineage: Eukaryota; Viridiplantae; Streptophyta; Magnoliopsida; Poales; Poaceae
Source: RefSeq, a predicted model, not a curated record